AGACGUCUACAUUAGAUACCCGCGUAGUCCCAGCCGUAAACUAUGCGCGUUAGGUGUAUCGGUGACCACGAGUUACCGAGGUGCCGAAGGGAAACCGUGAAACGUGCCGCCUGGGAAGUACGGUCGCAAGGCUGAAACUUAAAGGAAUCGGCGGGGGAGCACCACAACGGGUGGAGCCUGCGGUUUAAUUGGACUCAACGCCGGGAAGCUCACCGGAUAAGACAGCGGAAUGAUUGCCGGGCUGAAGACUCUGCAUGACUAGCUG
This 265-nucleotide ribosomal RNA is filed under the name uncultured archaeon. RNAcentral's name for it is "partial 16S ribosomal RNA". It matches the Rfam family "Archaeal small subunit ribosomal RNA", at positions 717 to 982 of the family's 1478-position model. The record is from RNAcentral.